GUGAGGAAUAUUGGACAAUGGGCGCAAGCCUGAUCCAGCCAUGCCGCGUGCAGGAAGACGCAUCUAUGGUGUGUAAACUGCUUUUGUACGGGAAGAAACACUCCCUCGUGAGGGAGCUUGACGGUACCGUAAGAAUAGGGAUCGGCUAACUCCGUGCCAGCAGCCGCGGUAAUACGGAGGAUCCAAGCGUUAUCCGGAAUCAUUGGGUUUAAAGGGUCCGUAGGCGGUUUAAUAAGUCAGUGGUGAAAGCCCAUCGCUCAACGAUGGAACGGCCAUUGAUACUGUUAGACUUGAAUUACAAGGAAGUAACUAGAAUAUGUAGUGUAGCGGUGAAAUGCUUAGAUAUUACAUGGAAUACCAAUUGCGAAGGCAGGUUACUACUUGUGGAUUGACGCUGAUGGACGAAAGCGUGGGGAGCGAACAGGAUUAGAUACCCCUGUAGUCC
RNAcentral lists this ribosomal RNA (445 nucleotides) under uncultured bacterium. RNAcentral describes it as "partial 16S ribosomal RNA". It matches the Rfam family "Bacterial small subunit ribosomal RNA", at positions 354 to 796 of the family's 1533-position model. The record is from RNAcentral.